Molecule: ribosomal RNA, 301 nt
Filed under: uncultured bacterium
Lineage: Bacteria
Description: partial 16S ribosomal RNA
Rfam family: Bacterial small subunit ribosomal RNA
Source: RNAcentral
CAGCCGCGCGGUAAUACGAAGGGUGCAAGCGUUACUCGGAAUUACUGGGCGUAAAGCGUGCGUAGGUGGUGGUUUAAGUCCGUUGUGAAAGCCCUGGGCUCAACCUGGGAAUUGCAGUGGAUACUGGGUCACUAGAGUGUGGUAGAGGAUAGUGGAAUUUCCGGUGUAGCAGUGAAAUGCGUAGAGAUCGGGAGGAACAUCAGUGGCGAAGGCGGCCAUCUGGGACAACACUGACGCUGAGGCACGAAAGCGUGGGGAGCAAACAGGAUUAGAGACCCCCGUAGUCCCUGUCUCUUAUACA